UACGGGGGGGGCAAGCGUUGUUCGGAAUUACUGGGCGUAAAGGGCUCGUAGGCGGCCAACUAAGUCGGACGUGAAAUCCCCAGGCUCAACCUGGGAACUGCGUCCGAUACUGGAUGGCUUGAAUCCGGGAGAGGGAUGCAGAAUUCCAGGUGUAGCGGUGAAAUGACGUAGAUAUCUGGAGGAAUACCGGUGGCGAAGGCGGCAUCCUGGACCGGCAUUGACGCUGAGGAGCGAAAGCCAGGGGAGCAAAGCGGGG
This 256-nucleotide ribosomal RNA is filed under the name uncultured bacterium. RNAcentral's name for it is "partial 16S ribosomal RNA". It matches the Rfam family "Bacterial small subunit ribosomal RNA", at positions 524 to 778 of the family's 1533-position model. The record is from RNAcentral.